GUGGGGAAUCUUAGACAAUGGGGGAAACCCUGAUCUAGCCAUGCCGCGUGAGCGAUGAAGGCCUUAGGGUUGUAAAGCUCUUUCAGCUGGGAAGAUAAUGACUGUACCAGCAGAAGAAGCCCCGGCUAACUCCUUGCCAGCAGCCGCGGUAAUACGGAGGGGGCUAGCGUUGUUCGGAAUUACUGGGCGUAAAGCGCACGUAGGCGGACCGGAAAGUCAGAGGUGCAAUCCCAGGGCUCAACCUUGGAACUGCCUUUGAAACUCCUGGUCUUGAGGUCGAGAGAGGUGAGUGGAAUUCCGAGUGUAGAGGUGAAAUUCGUAGAUAUUCGGAGGAACACCAGUGGCGAAGGCGGCUCACUGGCUCGAUACUGACGCUGAGGUGCGAAAGCGUGGGGAGCAAACAGGAUUAGAAACCCCUGUAGUCC
Molecule: ribosomal RNA, 425 nt
Filed under: uncultured bacterium
Lineage: Bacteria
Description: partial 16S ribosomal RNA
Rfam family: Bacterial small subunit ribosomal RNA
Source: RNAcentral